UCACGUUCACAACUUGAUAUUGUCUUCUGCAUUUCUCACCUGAAAAACUUAUGUAUUUUUCUCUGAAAGGAAAGGAAGAAUAUGUAUGGAUGUAUGCAUUCUGUAUGCUAGGCAGCUUGCAGGGAAACAUGGACGUGCAAAGUCAACUGGCUGCAUCGAAGGAAAGGUCUUUUCACUCCUCUUCAUCCAGUUGUUUGGAGGGAAGUGGCUGUGCUCUGAAAGGGAGGAUGGAACAGCUCACCAGAUACCCAGGAAGUAUCCAAAAUUGGGCAGAAAAGGAAGAGAGUCAUUCCAAACUCAGUAGUAGCUGAACCAUUGUGCAUCUGCAAGGCAGCCUUGACAUGAAGACUGGGCAAAUUAAAUCACAGAGCAGUAGGAAAAUUUGGGAUGGAAAGGUCCUCUGGAGGUCAUCUGGGUCAGCCUCCUGGUGAACACAGGUAACUUCCAAGUUACAUCUGGUUGCUCACAGCCUUUCUUUUCUGGCUGCCUGGCACCUUACUUGAGAAUUUCCUGGGGUUUCAGUGACCUGUUUGAGUUCAUAGUGGUGUUUACCCUGCACGUGACCCAGUGCUGGAUGCAAGGUCUGUAAUCCUGGCUGCUAUAAAGAACAGAAAAAAAAGUCCUUGUCCAAAGAACUUUUUCUCUGGGGAUCACACCAGGAAAAGCAGAUGGGUACAGAUGUACAAAAGAGUACACAAAUAGAGUAUGGGCUGUAAGAAGCAUUGGAAAUAGGAAUUUCAGUAGCUAGUAUUGUGUUAAAAAGAAAGCAGUGCCAUCCCUGAAACACCCUGAGCAA
Long non-coding RNA from Cygnus olor (mute swan), 796 nucleotides. RefSeq lists it as uncharacterized. The transcript is spliced from 4 exons. The record is from RefSeq and is a predicted model, not a curated record. Lineage: Eukaryota; Metazoa; Chordata; Aves; Anseriformes; Anatidae.